This 440-nucleotide ribosomal RNA is filed under the name uncultured bacterium. RNAcentral's name for it is "partial 16S ribosomal RNA". It matches the Rfam family "Bacterial small subunit ribosomal RNA", at positions 338 to 795 of the family's 1533-position model. The record is from RNAcentral.
CCUACGGGGGGCUGCAGUGGGGAAUAUUGCACAAUGGGGGAAACCCUGAUGCAGCGACGCCGCGUGUGUGAAGAAGUAUUUCGGUAUGUAAAGCUCUAUCAGCAGGGAAGAAAAUGACGGUACCUGAGUAAGAAGCCCCGGCUAACUACGUGCCAGCAGCCGCGGUAAUACGUAGGGGGCAAGCGUUAUCCGGAUUUACUGGGUGUAAAGGGAGCGUAGACGGCUAAUCAAGUCAGAAGUGAAAAGCCAGGGCUCAACCUGGGGACUGCUCUGGAAACUGAGUAGCUUGAGUGCAGGAGAGGUAAGCGGAAUUCCUAGUGUAGCGGUGAAAUGCGUAGAUAUUAGGAGGAACACCAGUGGCGAAGGCGGCUUACUGGACUGUAACUGACGCUGAUGCACGAAAGUGUGGGGAGCGAACAGGAUUAGAUACCCUUGUAGUC